AGAACGAAUGCUGGCGGCAGGCCUAACACAUGCAAGUCGAGCGAUGUAGCAAUACAUAGCGGCGCACGGGUGAGUAACACGUGGGAAUAUGCCCUUUGGUACGGAAUAGCCUCGGGAAACUGGGAUUAAUACCGUAUAUGACGUAAGUUGAAAGAUUUAUCGCCAAAGGAUUAGCCCGCGUCUGAUUAGCUUGUUGGUGAGGUAAUGGCUCACCAAGGCGACGAUCAGUAGCUGGUCUGAGAGGAUGAUCAGCCACACUGGAACUGAGACACGGUCCAGACUCCUACGGGAGGCAGCAGUGGGGAAUAUUGCACAAUGGACGAAAGUCUGAUGCAGCCAUGCCGCGUGAGUGAUGAAGGCCUUCGGGUUGUAAAGCUCUUUUGGCGGGGUACGAUAAUGACGGUACCCGCAGAAUAAGCCCGGCUAACUUCGUGCCAGCAGCCGCGGUAA
This 450-nucleotide ribosomal RNA is filed under the name uncultured bacterium. Its description in RNAcentral is "SSU rRNA". It matches the Rfam family "Bacterial small subunit ribosomal RNA", at positions 26 to 523 of the family's 1533-position model. The record is from RNAcentral.